CGCCGCACUUUCCUCCUUUUCUGAGCUGGGUUUUGGUGUUUGUACCUUCGGAGGCACUGCUAGGAUACGCCAUUCACCUGUAGAGAAGACCGUUGAUUUCGUCCCUGGUGACGCGGGGAACCGGGCCUCUGCCCUUCCCUGAGAGGGAGCCCAGGUGAUGGCAGCCAUGCCCGUGACAGCCCAGCACCAGGAUACUUAGUUCCUAAACCUGCCCUGAUCUCUCUUCUGGAGGGAGGGGAUUUUCCUUGGGACCUGGAGGCACAAAAUGAUCCAC
This 274-nucleotide long non-coding RNA is filed under the name Dasypus novemcinctus (nine-banded armadillo). Its description in RNAcentral is "lncRNA (ENSDNOG00000050447.1)". Lineage: Eukaryota; Metazoa; Chordata; Mammalia; Cingulata; Dasypodidae. The record is from RNAcentral.